AUCAACUACAAGCAAAUUUUACAACGUACUGAACGAUGCCUAGGAUGCUCAAAAUUGUUAGGUUUGCAACUCAUGGAUUGAUGACUACGCCCAUCAAAGUCCUCAGUCUUCACUCUUCUUCUUCUUCUUUUUCUCUUUCUUCUUGCUAGGCUCUUUGGUUUCCUCUUCGGGUUCAGCAUGCUUUCUCUUUUUCUUCUUUUUUUCUCCUGCUUCACCUUCAUUUUGCAAUUCAUCAUUCUCGGCUGAGUGCUUCUUCUUUUUCUUCUUUUCCUUUUUCACCACCUCUUCACUUUCUGGUUCUGCAUCACCAACUAC
RNAcentral lists this long non-coding RNA (315 nucleotides) under Vitis vinifera (wine grape). RNAcentral's name for it is "long non-coding RNA (VVIN_LNC004501)". The record is from RNAcentral. Lineage: Eukaryota; Viridiplantae; Streptophyta; Magnoliopsida; Vitales; Vitaceae.